This 425-nucleotide ribosomal RNA is filed under the name uncultured bacterium. RNAcentral's name for it is "partial 16S ribosomal RNA". It matches the Rfam family "Bacterial small subunit ribosomal RNA", at positions 359 to 776 of the family's 1533-position model. The record is from RNAcentral.
GAAUAUUGGACAAUGGGGGCAACCCUGAUCCAGCCAUGCCGCGUGUGUGAAGAAGGCCUUUUGGUUGUAAAGCCCUUUUGUUGGGAAAGAAAAGCAGUCGGCUAAUACCCGGUUGUUCUUACGGUACCCAAAGAAUAAGGCCCGGCUAAACUCGUGCCAGCAGCCGCGGUAAUACGCAGGGUGAAAGCGUUACUCGGAAUUACUGGGCGUAAAGCGUGCGUAGGUGGUUGUUUAAGUCUGUUGUGAAAGCCCUGGGCUCAACCUGGGAAUUGCAGUGGAUACUGGGCGACUAGAGUGUGGUAGAGGGUAGUGGAAUUCCCGGUGUAGCAGUGAAAUGCGUAGAGAUCGGGAGGAACAUCCAUGGCGAAGGCAGCUACCUGGACCAACACUGACACUGAGGCACGAAAGCGUGGGGAGCAAACAGG